RNAcentral lists this ribosomal RNA (962 nucleotides) under Lactobacillus gasseri. Its description in RNAcentral is "bacterial SSU rRNA". It matches the Rfam family "Bacterial small subunit ribosomal RNA", at positions 8 to 929 of the family's 1533-position model. The record is from RNAcentral. Lineage: Bacteria; Bacillati; Bacillota; Bacilli; Lactobacillales; Lactobacillaceae.
AGAGUUUGAUCAUGGCUCAGGACGAACGCUGGCGGCGUGCCUAAUACAUGCAAGUCGAGCGAGCUUGCCUAGAUGAAUUUGGUGCUUGCACCAAAUGAAACUAGAUACAAGCGAGCGGCGGACGGGUGAGUAACACGUGGGUAACCUGCCCAAGAGACUGGGAUAACACCUGGAAACAGAUGCUAAUACCGGAUAACAACACUAGACGCAUGUCUAGAGUUUAAAAGAUGGUUCUGCUAUCACUCUUGGAUGGACCUGCGGUGCAUUAGCUAGUUGGUAAGGUAACGGCUUACCAAGGCAAUGAUGCAUAGCCGAGUUGAGAGACUGAUCGGCCACAUUGGGACUGAGACACGGCCCAAACUCCUACGGGAGGCAGCAGUAGGGAAUCUUCCACAAUGGACGCAAGUCUGAUGGAGCAACGCCGCGUGAGUGAAGAAGGGUUUCGGCUCGUAAAGCUCUGUUGGUAGUGAAGAAAGAUAGAGGUAGUAACUGGCCUUUAUUUGACGGUAAUUACUUAGAAAGUCACGGCUAACUACGUGCCAGCAGCCGCGGUAAUACGUAGGUGGCAAGCGUUGUCCGGAUUUAUUGGGCGUAAAGCGAGUGCAGGCGGUUCAAUAAGUCUGAUGUGAAAGCCUUCGGCUCAACCGGAGAAUUGCAUCAGAAACUGUUAAACUUGAGUGCAGAAGAGGAGAGUGGAACUCCAUGUGUAGCGGUGGAAUGCGUAGAUAUAUGGAAGAACACCAGUGGCGAAGGCGGCUCUCUGGUCUGCAACUGACGCUGAGGCUCGAAAGCAUGGGUAGCGAACAGGAUUAGAUACCCUGGUAGUCCAUGCCGUAAACGAUGAGUGCUAAGUGUUGGGAGGUUUCCGCCUCUCAGUGCUGCAGCUAACGCAUUAAGCACUCCGCCUGGGGAGUACGACCGCAAGGUUGAAACUCAAAGGAAUUGACGGGGGCCCGCACAAG